AUACUUACGGUAGUCCCGCCAACAACAGCAGCAUCUAUACAACGACACCAAGAUGGCGGCUCUCAAUGGGAUGGCUGUUUGGUCCAGUCCUCAGGCAGGAAUUGACUCCCAGGCCACACUUUGGACACCAGUGACUUUGGGAAACUGUAAAGACCAACAGCAACAAGCUUCCAAGUGUGUCCUUCAAAUUGGAGGGGAAGCAAGCUGUCCUCCCUGAAUACUUCUAAUCUAAUAUUUUGUUUAUGCGUGAUGUGUUGAAUGGGCAAACUUAUUUUUCCACUUAUUGCAUUUGUCCAGAAGUCAAUCCUUUGCUUUAUUCUUUUAAGGAUGUUUGUGCCACAUGGAAAUGUGCAGCUUUCCAAAUUGUAUAGUUUCUAGUGUUAUUAAAUUGUGAUUUAUUAAGACUUGCCUGUCUUACUUGUUGAUCGGAGCACAAAUAAAGAAAAGAAGCAUGUGUUCAUUCAUUACACAAGAGGUGAGCUGUCAUUAGUUGACGAUAUCGCCGUCGAUAAUGUAGUGGGCAAUAUUGGUAUA
This is a non-coding RNA of Doryrhamphus excisus (bluestripe pipefish), 534 nucleotides long. The record is from RefSeq and is a predicted model, not a curated record. NCBI's taxonomy places the organism in Eukaryota, Metazoa, Chordata, Actinopteri, Syngnathiformes, Syngnathidae.